This 443-nucleotide ribosomal RNA is filed under the name uncultured bacterium. Its description in RNAcentral is "partial 16S ribosomal RNA". It matches the Rfam family "Bacterial small subunit ribosomal RNA", at positions 338 to 795 of the family's 1533-position model. The record is from RNAcentral.
CCUACGGGAGGCUGCAGUGGGGAAUAUUGGACAAUGGGGGGAACCCUGAUCCAGCGACGCCGCGUGAGUGAAGAAGUAUUUCGGUAUGUAAAGCUCUAUCAGCAGGGAAGAAAGAAAUGACGGUACCUGACUAAGAAGCCCCGGCUAACUACGUGCCAGCAGCCGCGGUAAUACGGAGGAGGCAAGCGUUAUCCGGAUUUACUGGGUGUAAAGGGAGCGUAGGCGGCGAUUCAAGUCUGAAGUUAAAGGGGGGGGCCCAACCCUCGGAGUGCCGUUGAAACUGGGUGGCUUGAGUGCAGGAGAGGUAAGUGGAAUUCGUGGUGUAGCGGUGAAAUGCGUAGAUAUUAGGAAGAACACCGAUGGCGAAGGCAGCUUACUGGACUGUAACUGACGUUGAGGCUCGAAAGCGUGGGGAGCAAACAGGAUUAGAUACCCGAGUAGUC